Molecule: ribosomal RNA, 443 nt
Filed under: uncultured bacterium
Lineage: Bacteria
Description: bacterial SSU rRNA
Rfam family: Bacterial small subunit ribosomal RNA
Source: RNAcentral
CACUAGUGAUUAGAGUUUGAUCCUGGCUCAGGAUGAACGCUAGCGGCGUGCUUAAUGCAUGCAAGUCGAACGGCUCUGAUGCCCGCAAGGGUGUCAGGAUAGUGGCAAACGGGCGAGUAACACGUAAGUGACCUACCUUCUAGUGGGGGAUAACUUGCCGAAAGGCAGGCUAAUACCGCAUGUGGUGAGGGGUAUAGACGCCCAUCACUAAAGGUCUGAGCAAUCAGGCCGCUGGAAGAGGGGCUUGCGUCCGAUUAGCUAGUUGGUGAGGUAACGGCCCACCAAGGCGAUGAUCGGUAGCUGGUCUGAGAGGACGACCAGCCGCACUGGGACUGAGACACGGCCCAGACUCCUACGGGAGGCAGCAGCAAGGAAUCUUGCGCAAUGGGCGAAAGCCUGACGCAGCGACGCCGCGUGGGGGAUGAAGGCCUUSGGGUUGUAAA